CAGGGGGAUAACAGUUAGAAAUGACUGCUAAUACCGCAUAAGCGCACGGUGCUGCAUGGCACAGUGUGAAAAACUCCGGUGGUAUGAGAUGGACCCGCGUCUGAUUAGCUAGUUGGUGGGGUAACGGCCUACCAAGGCGACGAUCAGUAGCCGGCCUGAGAGGGUGAACGGCCACAUUGGGACUGAGACACGGCCCAAACUCCUACGGGAGGCAGCAGUGGGGAAUAUUGCACAAUGGGGGAAACCCUGAUGCAGCGACGCCGCGUGAGCGAAGAAGUAUUUCGGUAUGUAAAGCUCUAUCAGCAGGGAAGAAAUAGGACGGUACCUGACUAAGAAGCACCGGCUAAAUACGUGCCAGCAGCCGCGGUAAUACGUAUGGUGCAAGCGUUAUCCGGAUUUACUGGGUGUAAAGGGAGCGUAGACGGUUGUGUAAGUCUGAUGUGAAAGCCCGGGGCUCAACCCCGGGACUGCAUUGGAAACUAUGUAACUAGAGUGUCGGAGAGGUAAGCGGAAUUCCUAGUGUAGCGGUGAAAUGCGUAGAUAUUAGGAGGAACACCAGUGGCGAAGGCGGCUUACUGGACGAUCACUGACGUU
Molecule: ribosomal RNA, 594 nt
Filed under: uncultured Lachnospiraceae bacterium
Lineage: Bacteria; Bacillati; Bacillota; Clostridia; Lachnospirales; Lachnospiraceae
Description: bacterial SSU rRNA
Rfam family: Bacterial small subunit ribosomal RNA
Source: RNAcentral